This 725-nucleotide long non-coding RNA is filed under the name Mytilus galloprovincialis (Mediterranean mussel). The record is from RNAcentral. Lineage: Eukaryota; Metazoa; Mollusca; Bivalvia; Mytilida; Mytilidae.
CUUUAAUUCAUGUGACCUUCAAUAUGCACCCAAGGUCAAAGGUCACAGAGUGCAAAAUAAAAUUACGCUGCAAUUUCAAGCUUACAUAUUAGGAAAACGAUAAGACUUUGCUGCAUACAUACAGCGUAUAAAAUGUUCCUCUCGACGAGCUCUACAUUUUAUAUAAUAAGCCCAAAAAUGUCCGACCGUCUGUUCAAAAGUUACAACGGGAUGAUUCUUAAAAGUAUAGUAUUUUGUGUAUAUCUUUUUAAAGGUAACAGAUAUCAACCUACUAUAAACUGCAAAGAUGAUCAGUAAUUCAAGACCUUCAAUUUGAGGUCAAUGUCAGGUCAUGAUGAAAUUUCACCUUGACCUUCACAUUAUAUAUACUAUGACCUUGACCUUGUGAUAUUUGAAAGGUCAAGUGGUCCUGAGUUGAAUGGUGAUAGUCCCAUGUCUCUACGACUUCCGGUUCUCAAGUUUGGUAUUGCAUCAUAUAUUUGAUGAUUAAUUGUGACCUUGGUGAACUUUGAAAUUGUCCCAAUUCUUUUUCUAUAAAUGUUGUCCUUUAACUGUAGAUCAUUUACCAUUUAACAGAUUUGAGAUAUCUAUUGUCGUUUUAGAGAUAAUGCAGUUUGAAAUUUUGCGAGCGCGGCAUGUAUUUCUGAAUCAACAACAGCUUACCACUUAAAAUGUUUAAGAAAUUGAAGAGGUUAACAUAGUUAUAUGUUUGACCAAAUACCAAA